UGUCCAGACUCCUACGGGAGGCAGCAGUGGGGAAUAUUGCACAAUGGGGGAAACCCUGAUGCAGCAACGCCGCGUGAGUGAGGAAGUAUUUCGGUAUGUAAGGCUCUAUCAGCAGGGAAUAGAAAAGAAGGUACCUGAAAAAGAAGCCCCGGCUAACUACGUGCCAGCAACCGCGGUAAUACGUAGGGGGCAAGCGUUAUCCGGAUUUACUGGGUGUAAAGGGGGCGUAGGCGGUUAGAUAAGUCUGAUGUGAAAGCCCGCAGCUUAACUGUGGGAUUGCAUUGGAAACUAUAGAACUAGAGUGUCGGAGAGGUAAGUGGAAUUCCUAGUGUAGCGGUGAAAUGCGUAGAUAUUAGGAGGAACACCAGUGGCGAAGGCGGCUUACUGGACGAUGACUGACGCUGAGGCUCGAAAGCGUGGGGAGCAAACAGGAUUAGAUACCCCAGUA
Molecule: ribosomal RNA, 448 nt
Filed under: uncultured bacterium
Lineage: Bacteria
Description: partial 16S ribosomal RNA
Rfam family: Bacterial small subunit ribosomal RNA
Source: RNAcentral